CCUACGGGGCGCAGCAGUGGGGAAUUUUGCGCAAUGCUCGUAAGAGUGACGCAGCGACGCCGCGUGAAUGACGAAGGCCUUCGGGUCGUAAAGUUCUUUCGACAGGGAAGAAAAUGCCUAUAAGUAACUGUGUAUGUAUUGACGGUACCUGUAUAAGCAGCCCCGGCUAACUCCGUGCCAGCAGCCGCGGUAAUACGGAGGGGGCGAGCGUUGUUCGGAGUGACUGGGCGUAAAGAGCACGUAGGCGGUGUUGUAAGUCAUUAGUCAAAGACUAGAGCUCAACUUUAGUAAGGCUAGUGAUACUAUAAUACGAGAGUAUCAGAGAGGAUUGCAGAAUUCCUGGUGUAGCGGUGAAAUGCGUAGAUAUUAGGAGGAACACCAGUGGCGAAGGCGGUCUGCUGGACAGCAACUGACGCUGAGGCGCGAAAGCGUGGGGAGCAAACAGGAUUAGAUACCCUAGUAGUC
This 465-nucleotide ribosomal RNA is filed under the name uncultured bacterium. RNAcentral describes it as "partial 16S ribosomal RNA". It matches the Rfam family "Bacterial small subunit ribosomal RNA", at positions 338 to 795 of the family's 1533-position model. The record is from RNAcentral.